CGUGAUCACUUUCCAGGCUGCAGUCUUCCGCAAUGCAUCCCCCCACGCGGUCAGGCGAGUCCGCGAAAACUCCCCGGGGCCUCGAAGCUCCCUGCGGCUUUCCUCAAAGAACCCCAGAUUAGCCCUGAUGUUUAGGGCUCUCUAGGUUUUCCACGUCGCAGACGCGGGCUGGGCGCGUCCCGGGCGAGCCCGGCUGGCGCGCACUUGGCAGCCUCCCAGUUGGCCGAGCUGGACGGAGGAGGGGGGUUGGUGGGGCCGAGAUAAACGCCCAUCCCCGCACCUCGAGCAGUCUUUCCACUUUCCCUCCGCUGCCUUGCACUACCCGGCCUGAGACCCGGAAGGCGGCGCCUGUUGAGUCACGGUCACGUGGCCACGGAUGCGCAGAGGCUGACAACGCCUCGGCGGCUAGGUCGCUCGGGGCCCUAGUGGAAAAUUUUCAGAGACCUACUGCGGCUGCGCGCCCGUGGCCCCGCCCCCACCUCCCUUCCCUCUGUUCCCCGCACCUACCCCGGCCCCCAGCCUUCCGGCGGCGGCCCGAGCCGCCUCUGCAGAGGUUCCUUUCUCCCACGAGAGCAGCGCUCCGCGCGCCCCGCCCGCCUGGCGCCGCCCGCGCCUUGGCCCUCCGGCCGGCAGUCUUCGCUUCCUUCGUGCCCCACCUUGGAGCUCCGAGCCGCCGUGCGGCCUUGCCCGCGACCUUGCUUGUACCCCGCUGGCAUCCUGAAAGUGGACAUGGCCCCAUCUGCCCAGGAGCUCUGAAACUACUGCAGCCAACAUGUGCCCAUGCCAGGAGAUAUCUCUGCAUGCUGAAGAUGACAGAAUGAAAAGAUGGUGACCUCUCAGUCUUUGAGGAGAUUAAAAGGCUAAGAAUUAAUUCUAGGUCUGCUCUAUCUGUAGACUUUCUAUUAUAUGAGAUACUAAGUAUCAUUAUUUAAGCCACUUCUAAUUGCAUAUUGUGUUUCUUACAAUAAACAGUUUUCUGCAACUGACAACCUUUCUGGGUGGUACCUAGCCUCCAGAAAGGCCCCAAUGAUCCUUACCUCCUGGUAUUCAUGUCUUUGUAUAAUCCCCUUCUACAUUGAAUCCAGGCUUGCUUUUGUGACCGGGAGAAUAUGGUGGAAAUAUAAGUGUGACUUCCAAGUCUGCUUUAUAAAGACAUUG
Bos taurus (domestic cattle) is the source of this 1158-nucleotide long non-coding RNA. Lineage: Eukaryota; Metazoa; Chordata; Mammalia; Artiodactyla; Bovidae. The record is from Ensembl.